UCCGCGUUGUAAUCUCGAGACGUGUUUUCCGUGCGGCUCUAUGGACAAGUCCCUUGGAACAGGGCAUCGUAGAGGGUGAAAAUCCCGUACUUGCCAUGGAAGAACCGUGCUUUGCGAUACACGCUCUAAGAGUCGAGUUGUUUGGGAUUGCAGCUCAAAACGGGUGGUAGACUCCAUCUAAAGCUAAAUAUCGGGGAGAGACCGAUAGCGAACAAGUACCGUGAGGGAAAGAUGAAAAGCACUUUGGAAAGAGAGUUAAAAGUACGUGAAAUUGUCGAAAGGGAAGCACUUGAAGUCAGCCAUGCUGCUUGAGACUCAGCCUGGCUUUUGCUUGGUGUAUUUCUCGGUAGCAAGCCAGCAUUGGUUUGUGUCGUCGGAGAAGCGCAUGGGGAAUGUGGCAUCCUCGGAUGUGUUAUAGCCCUGUGCAGGAUACGACGACGUAGACCAAGGAACGCAGUG
Molecule: ribosomal RNA, 459 nt
Filed under: uncultured Basidiomycota
Lineage: Eukaryota; Fungi; Basidiomycota
Description: eukaryotic LSU rRNA
Rfam family: Eukaryotic large subunit ribosomal RNA
Source: RNAcentral